GGUGGGGCUGGAGAUGGAGGGACAAGAGCUGGAGCCAGGUGUGAGGUGGGACUCCUCCUCGGCUUGGUGGCCCCUACUACCUUAUUGUGGGUAGGGUCUGAUCCCAAGUUACUAGAGCAGAAGCCUUGAAGUUUGAGCUUGAGCUGGUUCUGUUCCCUUUAGGUGCAUGCUUUUCCCUUUCCCAGCACUGGGACCCUUGCCCCAGAGUGGGGGAAUGCUGAAGCAGGGGUGGGAGCCCUAUGGGUUAUCAGCCACAGACAGAGAUCUGAACUGUCUCCAAUGCACUGCCUGUGGAGGCGCCCCUAAUUUUUUCCCUAGCUUUGCUCAGACAGACCCUCAGGUGCAAGUCCCCUUUGUCCCUCACAACUCAUCUAUGUCUCCAGCCUCUGCUACCCCUGCCCUGUUGUGGAGCCACAUUGCAAAGCAGAUGGGGUUCAUGUCAGCUCUCAGAGCAUUUUGGGGCAUCAUCAGUAACAGAGAGACCACUGUCAGAGUUCUGGGCUACUUCUUCUGUAUUUCCAGCAUAAGCACCAACCAUGGCCCCAGCCACCCCACUCAGGCUCUGCCCUGGGACCUGACUGCCUCUGCAUCCCCGGGGAGAGUUUUCUCCCCAGUCAUGGCUACCCUAAGUACAGUGCUGUGCUGUGAUGUGGACUGAGUGGGGCUGGAGUAUUCAUAUGGCUGGGGCUGAGAUGUACUCCAAGGUGGUUUCUUGGUUUCUGGGAAGCCAGGCAGUUGCUAGAGCAGAGCCCCCUCCACCCUCCCACCUUGCCUUGGGGGCACACCAGCCCCCACACACUCCUCAGGAGCAGAGUCCAGCCUUUCCAUGCCCUCCUGUUGGUCCUCCAGCCAAACAAGGGGGGCUCAUUUCCCCUGUGUAGAACCCUAGGACUGGAGCACCCAAACUGCGGCUCUCGCUGCCCAUCCCCAGGGAGGGGCUCUGCCCAUAAAUUCUCCCUUUUCCUCUGAGUCUCCCUCCCCAUGCACAGUUCCUGACCUGAGAGCAUUUCUUUCCUUCUGACCUAUUAUGUGUGAAUCUUUCUUGCAGCCCUUGUUGUGCAGAAGUCUUUCUGCCAAUUUCCAGUUCACUUUCAGUGAGAAUUGUUCCAUAGUUGUAUUUUUGAUGUGUUCACUGGGGAGGUGAGUUCCACUUCCUCUUACUCUGCCAUCUUGAUUGGUCUCCUACCAUGGUUUUAAAAAAAGAAUUUUGUAGCUAAUUAUAUUAAUGAUAUCCUUACUUAAACCCUCCCUUUCUAUAGCAACUCAUGGAAGAAUCCUCCUAUACGUACAUGCCUUUAUCCUGAUUACUGCUCACACAGUCCCUUGAAGUUUAUAGUCCUCAUGUACAAAAUAGACCUUGGAAGAUGCCAAUACUUACGGUUAAAUGGACUAUUACCUACUUGGCCCUUCCACUGUGUAACUAAUGCUUCUGAGUUUCUCUGAUUAUUUUUUGAAAGGAGAGGACAAAAUGUUCUUAGGAGACAGUACAGAUAUCCCUCUAAAGCCAAAUGAUCUAAAUAUUUGAUAUCAGUAUCUAGUCCUGUAGAUGGAAUAUUUGUGUAGCUCAGUCAGUGGAAUACAAGCCAUUCCUAUGCUUGAAUAGAUUUGUAACUGAUUAUAUUUGUAGCACACAGUAUCUCUUCCCAGGAAAUAUGUUAAUUUCGUAUAGGUGUUUUAUGAUGGCAGUGUGUAAACAGUGUGUGUGUGUGUGUGCAUGCACACACUUUUGAUACAUACCUCCUAUUUCUCUAGGAUUAUCCAGGAAAGCAUUUUCUGGAGAGCUUUGUUUCUAAGCUCCAUAUGAACAUCUGGAGUUUUCAAGGUGAAAAUGAUUCCUCAUGGAUUGGUUUUAACAAGCUGGGUAGCACAGACUGGAAGGGAUUAAGGCAGACAAUGUGACCACACAACAAUUUCCUCCCUUAUAAACCUUUUAUAUCACUUAUCAGAAUUUUAAUUCCAUCUGCUAAGUAAUGCAGGUCCCUAAAGCAGAGGUUAUGCCUGCAGCCACAGGUUGGGGUCCUCAGCUGCUUUUUUAUAACACUGUGCACUGCAGUUUCUGUGGGCCUCUUUGGUGAAGAAGCAAGUCAUGUUUGAGUUAGAUGGUGAAUCCUUUUAUUUAUUUUUUCAAUAGGAAAAGAAACUCUGUUUUUAAAGACUAUUUGCUCAUUGCUGGAUAAGGACAGCCCUAAUAAACUAAAACCAGAGUAUUCUUAAUUUAUCAAUUGACAUAUUUUUAGAACCAUCUCUGGUCCUUUCUACUACACUAUUUUAGAAUGAUUUAAGUUAGCGUAUUUAAAUAUAAUUCUUGGAAGAAAGAAGAUCUUUCCUUAAAGCUGGAGUGCUCAUCGGCAGGCAGCAGAGAUGGGCUGUGUUAAUGUCAAUUUCUUUGCUUUUUAUAAAUGCCACCUGUGUUACCAGCAUUGAUUUGAAGGUGAUGUAAUUUUCUUGCAAAUCCAUUAGUUUUAUAGGUUUUUGGCAAGCCCCACUGCUGUGUUGAUUAGAUAUAGUAACUGUGUCUAUUUAAACAGGGUUUUAAAUGCUUGGCUCGACUUUCUAUAUUGGCUGGAUAACAAGAUGUACAGUAGAUGCUUUAACUUAAGGUUGUGCUAAACAGUGAUUUGACACAUAGCUUAGUGUUUAGCCAUUUGUGAUAAUAAGCACUUUAAUUGUGGAGUUAAUUGUAGGUACCUGCAAGACAUAGCUUUAAGCGAUCCUGACAAAUAAGAUAGAGACUCUCUACCCUCUUUAGGCUGCUUUAUUCUAACAGUGUUUCUCAAAAUGCAGUUCUCAGACAAGCAAUAUCAGCAUCAUCUGGGUACAUGUUAGAAAUGCAUAUUCUUGGCCCCACCCCAGACACACUGAAUCAGAAACUCUGAGGAGGGGGGUGCGUCCCCAGGUAUCUGUGUUUUCACAAGCCCCCCUGGUGACUCUGCCUAUGCUACUUUGGAACCACUGGUAUAAGAGAAUCCUUGAUACACAGCACUGCUGUAUUUUGGCACAAACAAUGCAACGUGAAUCACUUCUAUAAUUACUCUUAGUGAAUUAACUUCCUAUAUCCAAAUUAGCAAAUAUUGGAACAUUUUAUAUUAAUGAAAAACUAUCAGGGAUCUCUUAAUUUUUGAAGAUGUAUCUUUACCCUGAUAGAUGGUGGCUUGUUGUAAACAUAUUAGGAUUGAGGUUUGGGGUGAGGGAAAGCAGCUCAUCUUUAUUUUCUUUAGCUCUCCUUGCUUCCUUGUUUUCAUUAUCUAAAGAAGUUAACAUAACACGCUCCGUUACACAAGCUGCAGCUUUUAUUAUCUUUUAUCUCUUCCUGAACCCUUUCUCUAAAUGCUACUUGAUUACUCUUGCAUGUUGACAUAGACAUUUAGAAUAAUCAAAACAUCGAGAAAGUGAUGCUUGGUUAAUCUAGGGCAGGAAGGCUUCUAUGACACAGAUAAACGGGUUGAAGCUCAUGCAAACCUAAAAGUUCUAGUGGAUGGGCUGAGAUGAUGCUUCAUAGAAGGUAGGUGGUGAGAGAUUUGAUGCUAGCAAAUAAACAAGCAAAUGGAAAUAAAUAUAUUUUCCACAGAAGAAGUAUUAGGUUCCCUAGGGAAGAGGAGAGUUCUGAGUAUUCAGACUGCUGAAAUUCACUGCAGUUCAUUCUUAAAAGUGGUUAAUUGUUCACUCAUCAAAUCUUGACUGUGACAUUUUCUUGUUGUCUGUUUUAAGCUGAGCCAAAACUGUGUUUCCAGAAUUCCCUUCCAGGCAUAGUUCCAGAUUAGUGUGGGUCAGAAAACAAGAAACAUUUCACAUAAGAUUUGGAAGACAGAGGUGAAGCAUAGCCAGGGUGCUCCAGGGCACUCUGUCACAUAUACCUUGGCUCACCUGGUGGAAAUGUGACAACAGCCAGGGUUGCAGUAUUUCCAGACCCUGUUGGAUACCUUCCUUUAGCUUUUCAGAGUCCUGCUUCAUUCACCAUCAUUAUGAAAAUACCUGCUUCUCCUGCAGGUCCAUCUAUAAUCACAGUCAGAUCCUGAAAGGUUGCUAAGACCUAUAUGAGUUCUAGUUCAUCCCUGUGGAUUCCAGCUUGUCCUUACACUCCCUGAUCUCUCCUUGUUAAAUCCUCACCCUCUAUUUCUCAUCUAUCUUUCCUUCAGAGCCACCUACUCCAUCCACAGUGGGCCCCAGGUCUGGACGUGGGAGCAAAAGCUUCAGACAGACACUUCAACCAGCUGUUACAUGUUCAUAAAGUCAAAUCCCUAUAACAGGAGUUCCCAAUAUGGCUUAGCAGGUUAAGAACCUGACAUAGUGAGGAUGCAGGUUCACACCCUGGCCUUGCUCAGUGGGUGAAGGAUCCUCUGUUGCUGCAAGCUGCAGCAUAAGUAAUAGAUGUGGUUCAGAUCCAGUGUUGCUGUAGCUUCAGCUUCAAUUUGAUCCCUAGGCCAGGAACUUCCAUAUGCUGCAGGUGUGGCCCUAAAAAGAAAAAAAAAAAAAAUCCCUAUAAUAAAUCCUUUGUUAAAUAGCACUUCCGGUGUUUCUACUUCUCUGAUCCAACCCCAAUACAGAAUUUAGUUCUAGAAAUAGAUCCAGAGGAACUAAAUCUGAAAUUGAUCUUUUCUGCAAAUUAACUCUCUGUUAUCUAGAAUUGAUCCUGGGCUUUGUUUAAAGAUAUCACAGGCCCCAUUUCCAGUAGUAAAGGAGCCAAAGCAUGCAGGGAUAAAGCAUUUACUCAAGUUACUACCUGCAACCAUGUGCAUUUAGGAGGCAAGACUUCAGUGAGCAAGAAUGUGUUGGCAAAAUCCAAAAAUCUCUGUGACUUACAAAUCACAGAUUUAUUUAUGGCUCAUAAUACAGGGGGACCCCUGCAGAGGAAAUGCAGCUGUAUUCCACCUGUGUUUUCAUCUUUACCCCAGGCAGAAGGCAUAGUCUUGAUGUGGAAAGUGCCCUUCUCAUGGCAGAAGGGAUGAGCCAGAGUGCUGGUGGGAGCUCAUUUCCCCUUGAGGCCUAGACUCACACAUACCUUUGGUCACAGGAAUUCAUGUUUUAUUGGGCAAAUAUGUCACACAGCCAAACCUGAAUUCUAUGGGGCAGGAACGUAUUAUCCGCUCCCAAAGAAUGGAGAAUAGUGGCCAACAGCAACAACCACAGUCAUUUAUGAAAUAACUCUAAAUUGAGGUUGGUUAUUAUGUAUUAGGGGCCUGGAAGAUCAAGUAACGAAUUACCUUAAAGCAUAGAAUAAAAAUACGGUGAGAUGAAAAUUGGGGUAUGAUUAGGAGAAUUUAAAAAGCAGUAGUUUCAAAAGAAAAGAAUACAAUUAUGGAAGAGAGGUGUUACUGAAAUGAAUAUGAAAAUAAAAUAUUCUGAUUUUGAAAAAAAUUCUGAUUUUGUAAAAAAUUCUGAUUUUGCACCAGGCUAAGUUUAUGGAAAAAAAGACACACCUAGGAAAAUUCUGAUAAAUAGUUUGACUCUAAGCACUGAUUUCAAAAAAGUAACAAUUUUCCAAGCAGAGAUAAUAGUAAUAACCCCCAAAGAAAAACAAUUCAUGUCAUCCUCAGAUUUUUUUGCUCUCUAUUAUUGGAAGCUAUAAAAGAAUAAAAUAGAGUAUAAAGUAGGGAAAGCAUAAAGGGUCACUUGAGUCUUGUACCAGUUAAGACCUCAUUCAUUGGUGAAAAUGAAAGAAAACUGAUGUUAUGCAGGAAUUCUGAGAGUCUUAUUUCUCAUUUAUGUCAAUAACAAUAUGAAUCAGAAGAGAAGCCAGAAAAUUGAAAUAAAGAGGAAAAUGUACUAAGAAAAAUUGUUACAUAGCCUUCAUAACUAGUUACCUAGCUAACUAGCUGGAUAUAGGUAGAUAUGGAAAUCUAUAGCAACGUGAAGAGUACAUUGGGCCAGGAGAUGUCUACAGCCAGACUUACAGUUUAUGGAUGGCAUCCUCUCUGAAAGUUUGGUGUCCCAGCUAAUUGGGCUGAUUUCUAUGCCAUAUAGAUUGCUACAUUUGUAAUGCUUCCCUUGCAAUAUAAAAAAGGGUUAUAUUUAUAAUUCCUGGCAGUUUUUAAGAACUUUUGAAACACAGCGGCCAUGCUGGCCCUGGUCUCUCUGUGGAAAUAUAAGUGUAGCCUGGUGGGAAACAUAGUAACUAUCUUAAUUUCAAUAAAUUAAUUUCAUAAAUGUCUAAUUCAAAGAAUGGUAAAUAUCUUGACUGGGAAAUUUUAUUAGAAUUCCCAAUUAAUUAGAUAAAUAUGAAAGGAAUAGUCACUUGAUUGAGCAAAAUAUAAGGCAAAAAAAGGGAAAAAAUUUUAAAAACAGGGAGUUUCCAGGUGGCUCAGUGGGUUAAGGAUCUAAAGUUGUCACUGCAGUAGGUAGUUCAAGUUGUUGCUGUGGCAUGGUUCAGUCCUUGGACCAAGACCUUCCACGCGUGGAUGUGGCCAAAAUAAAAGAGAAAAUAUGAGUUCCCAUCAUGGCUCAGUGGUUAACAAAUCCAACUAGGAACCAUGAGGUUGUGGGUUUGAUCCCUGGCCUCGCUCAUUGGGUUAAGGAUCCGGCGUUGCCAUGAGCUGUGGUGUAGGUUGCAGGCAAGGCUUGGAUCCCACAUUACUAUGGCCCUGCCGUAGACUGAUGGCUACAGAUCUGAUUAGACCCCUAGCCUAGGAAUCUCCAUAUACUGCAAGUGUG
RNAcentral lists this long non-coding RNA (6648 nucleotides) under Sus scrofa (pig). Its description in RNAcentral is "lncRNA (ENSSSCG00000053838.1)". Lineage: Eukaryota; Metazoa; Chordata; Mammalia; Artiodactyla; Suidae. The record is from RNAcentral.